CAGCAGCCGCGGUAAUACGUAGGGUGCGAGCGUUAAUCGGAAUUACUGGGCGUAAAGCGUGCGUAGGCGGUUUGUUAAGUCUGCUGUGAAAUCCCCGGGCUCAACCUGGGAAUGGCAGUGGAUACUGGCAAGCUAGAGUGUGUCAGAGGAUGGUGGAAUUCCCGGUGUAGCGGUGAAAUGCGUAGAGAUCGGGAGGAACAUCAGUGGCGAAGGCGGCCAUCUGGGACAACACUGACGCUGAGGCACGAAAGCGUGGGGAGCAAACAGGAUUAGAUACCCGCGUAGUCCCUGUCUCUUAUAC
RNAcentral lists this ribosomal RNA (301 nucleotides) under uncultured bacterium. RNAcentral's name for it is "partial 16S ribosomal RNA". It matches the Rfam family "Bacterial small subunit ribosomal RNA", at positions 509 to 807 of the family's 1533-position model. The record is from RNAcentral.